UUCCUUUUGUCCCUUAACUUAGAGGAGAAAGUACUAGAAGGAAGAUAAAUCAAUCAAUUGUUAUGCGAUAUGACUUUCACCAAUUGCAUGGAAACAAUCUUCAAUUUCAGUCUACUUGAUUAGGCAGUUGCCAGCUUAGAGGAGGCGAAAGAUGACACAUGGGAAAUCAAAUCCAAUUCAUUCAAAAGACAAUCAUAGCUCACUGUUCU
Molecule: long non-coding RNA, 209 nt
Filed under: Phaseolus vulgaris (common bean)
Lineage: Eukaryota; Viridiplantae; Streptophyta; Magnoliopsida; Fabales; Fabaceae
Description: long non-coding RNA (PVUL_LNC005116)
Source: RNAcentral